UUAGUGUCUAGAAACCUUGACUACUAUAUGAUGACAAUGAUUCUUAUUGUAUAACGUAUACAAGUAUUACAAACUCUUAUUAUUUUAAUAUUGAAAAGCAGCAAUUUUAUGUUAAUGUACAAUUGUAUUCUUUACUUAUAUUUUGUUUUACAUUAAAACUCAACAAAACAUUCUGGUAGAUUUGUACUAUCUCUUUUAUUGCUAAGCAUUAUAAUUAUUUCUUUAACCAUUAUACAUAUUUAACUGACUAUUUGUGUUUUAGAUGGCAGUACUGCAGAUCACUGGAGGCAUGCUGAGACAUGAAUUAGCAUUUCUAUCACUAGGGAAAGUUACAACAUUUUCCGUUGAAAAUGGAAUAGAAGAUGGCAGUAUAUCAGAUCAAUCAAGGCACGCUGAGACACGAAUUCACAUUUCUACCACCAAGGAAAGAAUCAACAUCCUAUGUUGAAAAUGGACUAGAAGAUACUGAUAAUAAUAUUGGAUUUAUGCAAUGUGCGUGCAAUGGUUAUUGAAUAUAAUUGAUUCUAAAUUAAUAGCUGUGAAACAAUUGAGAUUUGUUAAAUAUCUGAAUAAAAUAAUAGUAAACACCUUUA
This is a long non-coding RNA of Rhopalosiphum padi (bird cherry-oat aphid), 593 nucleotides long. RefSeq lists it as uncharacterized. NCBI's taxonomy places the organism in Eukaryota, Metazoa, Arthropoda, Insecta, Hemiptera, Aphididae. The transcript is spliced from 2 exons. The record is from RefSeq and is a predicted model, not a curated record.